RNAcentral lists this ribosomal RNA (540 nucleotides) under Bifidobacterium bifidum. RNAcentral's name for it is "bacterial SSU rRNA". It matches the Rfam family "Bacterial small subunit ribosomal RNA", at positions 157 to 708 of the family's 1533-position model. The record is from RNAcentral. Lineage: Bacteria; Bacillati; Actinomycetota; Actinomycetes; Bifidobacteriales; Bifidobacteriaceae.
CGGGUGGUAAUGCCGGAUGUUCCACAUGAUCGCAUGUGAUUGUGGGAAAGAUUCUAUCGGCGUGGGAUGGGGUCGCGUCCUAUCAGCUUGUUGGUGAGGUAACGGCUCACCAAGGCUUCGACGGGUAGCCGGCCUGAGAGGGCGACCGGCCACAUUGGGACUGAGAUACGGCCCAGACUCCUACGGGAGGCAGCAGUGGGGAAUAUUGCACAAUGGGCGCAAGCCUGAUGCAGCGACGCCGCGUGAGGGAUGGAGGCCUUCGGGUUGUAAACCUCUUUUGUUUGGGAGCAAGCCUUCGGGUGAGUGUACCUUUCGAAUAAGCGCCGGCUAACUACGUGCCAGCAGCCGCGGUAAUACGUAGGGCGCAAGCGUUAUCCGGAUUUAUUGGGCGUAAAGGGCUCGUAGGCGGCUCGUCGCGUCCGGUGUGAAAGUCCAUCGCUUAACGGUGGAUCUGCGCCGGGUACGGGCGGGCUGGAGUGCGGUAGGGGAGACUGGAAUUCCCGGUGUAACGGUGGAAUGUGUAGAUAUCGGAAAAAAACA